CCGCACGCGCGCUACACUGACAGAGCCAGCGAGUACUCCCUUGGCCGGAAGGUCCGGGUAAUCUUGUUAAACUCUGUCGUGCUGGGGAUAGAGCAUUGCAAUUAUUGCUCUUCAACGAGGAAUCCCUAGUAAGCGCAAGUCAUCAGCUUGCGUUGAUUACGU
Molecule: ribosomal RNA, 162 nt
Filed under: uncultured eukaryote
Lineage: Eukaryota
Description: partial 18S rRNA
Rfam family: Eukaryotic small subunit ribosomal RNA
Source: RNAcentral